ACACAUGCAAGUCGAACGAUGAAGAAAAGAAUUGAAGCUUCGGCAGAAAUUCAUUUCGGAUUAGUGGCAGACGGGUGAGUAACGCGUGAGCAACCUACCUCUUACAAAGGGAUAGCCUCGGGAAACCGGGAUUAAUACCAUAUAACAUUGCGACGAAGCAUUUCGAUGCAAUCAAAGCUACGGCGGUAAGAGAUGGGCUCGCGUCCCAUUAACCAGAUGGUGAGGUAACGGCUCACCAUAGUAACGAUGGGUAACCGGCCUGAGAGGGUGAACGGUCACACUGGAACUGAGACACGGUCCAGACUCCUACGGGAGGCAGCAGUGGGGAAUAUUGCACAAUGGAGGGAACUCUGAUGCAGCGACGCCGCGUGAGUGAUGAAGGAAUUCGUUUCGUAAAACUCUGUUCUAUGGGAAGAAAAGGACUGUACCAUAGGAGAAAGCUCCGGCUAAAUACGUGCCAGCAGCCGCGGUAAUACGUAUGGAGCGAGCGUUGUCCGGAAUUAUUGGGCGUAAAGGGUGCGCAGGCGGCUUUACAAGUUGGAUGUGAAAUAUUGUGGCUCAACCACAAACGUGCAUCCAAAACUGCAAAGCUUGAGUUAAGGAGAGGUAAGUGGAAUUCCUGGUGUAGCGGUGGAAUGCGUAGAUAUCAGGAGGAAUACCGGUGGCGAAGGCGACUUACUGGACUUAAACUGACGCUCAGGCACGAAAGCGUGGGGAGCAAACAGGAUUAGAUACCCUGGUAGUCCACGCCGUAAACGAUGAGUGCUAGGUGUUGGGGGUCAAACCUCGGUGCCGCAAGCAAACGCAAUAAGCACUCCGCCUGGGGAGUACGUGCACAAGCAUGAAACUCAAAGGAAUUGACGGG
RNAcentral lists this ribosomal RNA (865 nucleotides) under uncultured bacterium. RNAcentral describes it as "bacterial SSU rRNA". It matches the Rfam family "Bacterial small subunit ribosomal RNA", at positions 51 to 917 of the family's 1533-position model. The record is from RNAcentral.